RNAcentral lists this ribosomal RNA (164 nucleotides) under uncultured bacterium. RNAcentral describes it as "partial 16S rRNA". It matches the Rfam family "Bacterial small subunit ribosomal RNA", at positions 355 to 511 of the family's 1533-position model. The record is from RNAcentral.
UGGGGAAUAUUGGACAGUGGGCGAAAGCCUGAUCCAGCCAUGCCGCGUGUGUGAAGAAGGUCUUCGGAUUGUAAAGCACUUUAAGUUGGGAGGAAGGGCAGUAAGCUAAUACCUUGCUGUUUUGACGUUACCGACAGAAUAAGCACCGGCUAACUCUGUGCCAG